Salmo salar (Atlantic salmon) is the source of this 1520-nucleotide long non-coding RNA. RefSeq lists it as uncharacterized. The record is from RefSeq and is a predicted model, not a curated record. Lineage: Eukaryota; Metazoa; Chordata; Actinopteri; Salmoniformes; Salmonidae.
CCGAAUGUCUGAGCCAGUAAGAGAAUGGAAACUAAGUAAGACAACAAGAUUCGUAAAGUGGAGUGACGAUAUUAUUUAAGUGUAAGACUGUAUAAAAGCCAAGUCCUAAGAACGAAGAGUUAGUUCUUCCCUGGAAUUGCUCGGCUUCAUUACUCUCUGUAAUGAAAUCUAUUUGAAUUCACAAGCUCCGGUAUCUGAGAAGUAUUUGAAUCAAUAUUUUCACAACACUGUUAGCAAUAAAAGCUGUGCCUCACCUCAGGGACAGACAGGUGUCUGAGAUCUAACCAAAUUUACUGAGAUUCAGAUUGAAGUACAAGCUGCAGCUGCAGAGAUGUGUACCAUAAUGUUCAUUAAAGAGGCUAAGAUCUACGUUCUCCUAUUGGUGUUCAUUAGCGUCUUUGUGGAGAAAGGGCAGUCAGAAUUAUCAAGAGAAAAUGUGAAAAAAAUUAUUGAAGACGUAAUAUACACAAGGUUCAAGCAUAAAGACUUGCAGAAUAUUAUGAUGGCAAAGAACAAAGACAAAAGCCAAAAACAGCCCAUGGGUGGCCAGUUCACAAUUGCACUCCAUCUAACACAAAAUGAAUGUCAAAAUGGGAAGAUGGAGGGAAGCAACGUUGACUUUCAGAAGGUUGUGGAAGACAUGGCAAAUAGCGCUGUGUUCAACAGUGGUGGGGUCACUGCAGCUAUUCCUCUAUUCACAUAUGACAAUGAUGGUGUAGCAGCUCAAAAAGAAGAGGUUCAUUCAGAAUAUCGCGUACUGGAUAAACUGAAAUUGAAUUUGAACAAAGUUUCUGAUAAAAAGUGUUUGAUACUCUACACACAGAACAGUCCUUGUAGGGAGUCAUGCCUAGAAGGAAAAGUGUCAAACAUCAUCCAACCACUGGAAGAUGUUUUCAGAAAGGUAGACACAGGUUAUAAGGCAGUAGUCUUCGACCAUAUUUAUCGUGAUGACAAAAUGCAAACUAGAGAAAGAGUUUUUAAUUCUCUGAAAAAAAUUCCUGUGACAACUUAUUGCUGCUACUACGAAAACAACGUUUUUGUAUGUGCAUUGCUUGACCAUAACAAACGUGCCAACGAUCAAGAAUGUCUGUCUGAGAUGAGUAAGGAUAAUCAAAGUAGUGACGACGAUGAACCCGUGAGAAAAAAGCCAAAGAAAAUGUAUAAAUAGAUUUUUUUCUAUUGUUACAAAAAACACAAAAUUCAUUCAAAUGUUUGGCUGUCAUUACUCAUCACUUAAUUGGGAUGCUAAUGUUAGCAGUACAUGAAUGUUGAUUGUAAUACUUUCGUCGUUUAAUCGUUUCAAUGUGCUUUCUGUGUUCUGAAUAUUGAUCAACAUUAUGAAACUGUGUAAUGUAGUGUGAAACUAUUUCUAUCUGAUGCCAGUAGAAAGCUGUUAGUUUGUUGUUUAUUAUACUGUAUAAGUCUGUUUCCAUUCGCUUAUGAUAACAUUACUGUGAUCUACAAAUUUAUGACGUGUGGGAGUUAUUUGCUGUUAUUAAACCUCUCUUGGAUGUAAUGAA